Molecule: unclassified non-coding RNA, 381 nt
Filed under: Zea mays
Lineage: Eukaryota; Viridiplantae; Streptophyta; Magnoliopsida; Poales; Poaceae
Description: misc RNA Zm00001eb253520
Source: RNAcentral
GGGGUGGGGGGGGAUAACAGCAAACAAGAAGAUAAGUUGUUUUAGUACUCUACCCUCACUCGGAAUUAAGCAGAACAAUAUUAAUGUAGACAUCAUUUUUUGGCACAUGGUAGCAAUUCUUGUCUGGCUGGAUGCAUUUGGGGGUGGGGAGGACCCAGACCGAGGCCAAUGGAUGAUGGACACCAAUACCAGGAGACAAGAGACUGAUGACAACAAAAUUCAUGUGCUGGCCUGCUGGGUUACAGCAGGCUCGCGGACCACUGUAGUCCUAGCCAUAUUUGCUAACCUUACCAAUCUGCAAGGGAAGUUACAUGUUUUUUUCCUUAAAAAAAUAAAGUGCUAGGCACUUCAUACUUACAUCUCCAUUUGAAUACAUCCCUA